RNAcentral lists this ribosomal RNA (270 nucleotides) under uncultured archaeon. RNAcentral's name for it is "partial 16S ribosomal RNA". It matches the Rfam family "Archaeal small subunit ribosomal RNA", at positions 477 to 747 of the family's 1478-position model. The record is from RNAcentral.
CAGCACCUCAAGUGGUCAGGAUGAUUAUUGGGCCUAAAGCAUCCGUAGCCGGCGCUGUAAGUUUUCGGUUAAAUCUGUACGCUCAACGUACAGGCUGCCGGGAAUACUGCAGCGCUAGGGAGUGGGAGAGGUAGACGGUACUCGGUAGGAAGGGGUAAAAUCCUUUGAUCUAUUGAUGACCACCUGUGGCGAAGGCGGUCUACCAGAACACGUUCGACGGUGAGGGAUGAAAGCUGGGGGAGCAAACCGGAUUAGAUACUCGAGUAGUCC